Molecule: ribosomal RNA, 191 nt
Filed under: uncultured bacterium
Lineage: Bacteria
Description: partial 16S ribosomal RNA
Rfam family: Bacterial small subunit ribosomal RNA
Source: RNAcentral
UACGGGGGGCAGCAGUGGGGAAUUUUGGACAAUGGGCGCAAGCCUGAUCCAGCAAUGCCGCGUGAGUGAAGAAGGCCUUCGGGUUGUAAAGCUCUUUUGUCAGGGAAGAAACGGUGGGAGCUAAUAUCUCCUGCUAAUGACGGUACCUGAAGAAUAAGCACCGGCUAACUACGUGCCAGCAGCCGCGGUAA